RNAcentral lists this ribosomal RNA (492 nucleotides) under uncultured bacterium. RNAcentral's name for it is "bacterial SSU rRNA". It matches the Rfam family "Bacterial small subunit ribosomal RNA", at positions 29 to 507 of the family's 1533-position model. The record is from RNAcentral.
AUGAACGCUAGCUACAGGCUUAACACAUGCAAGUCAGGGGCAGCAUGGUCUUAGCUUGCUAAGGCCGAUUGGGCGACCGGCGCACGGGUGAGUAACACGUAUCCAACCUGCCGUCUACUCUUGGACAGCCUUCUGAAAAGGAAGAUUAAUACAAGAUGGCAUCAUGAGUUCACAUGUUCACAUGAUUAAAGGUAUUCCCGGUAGACGAUGGGGAUGCGUUCCAUUAGAUAGUAGGCGGGGUAACGGCCCACCUAGUCUUCGAUGGAUAGGGGUUCUGAGAGGAAGGUCCCCCACAUUGGAACUGAGACACGGUCCAAACUCCUACGGGAGGCAGCAGUGAGGAAUAUUGGUCAAUGGGCGCAGGCCUGAACCAGCCAAGUAGCGUGAAGGAUGACUGCCCUAUGGGUUGUAAACUUCUUUUAUAAAGGAAUAAAGUCGGGUAUGUAUACCCGUUUGCAUGUACUUUAUGAAUAAGGAUCGGCUAACUCCGUG